RNAcentral lists this small nuclear RNA (164 nucleotides) under Pogona vitticeps (central bearded dragon). RNAcentral's name for it is "U1 spliceosomal RNA (ENSPVIG00000013192.1)". It matches the Rfam family "U1 spliceosomal RNA". From Rfam's summary of the family: U1 is a small nuclear RNA (snRNA) component of the spliceosome (involved in pre-mRNA splicing). Its 5' end forms complementary base pairs with the 5' splice junction, thus defining the 5' donor site of an intron. Lineage: Eukaryota; Metazoa; Chordata; Lepidosauria; Squamata; Agamidae. The record is from Rfam by way of RNAcentral.
AUUCAUACCUGGCAGGGGAGAUACCAUGAUCAUAAAAGUGGUUUUCCCAGGGUAAGGCUCAUCCAUUGCGCUUUGCAUGUGCUGAUCCCUGUGAUUUCCCCAAAUGUGGGAAAAUCAACUGCCUAAUUUGUGGUAGUGGGGGACUGCAUUUAUGGUUUCCCCUG